GGGGGCAUAGCUCAGUGGUAAGAGCAUCUGCCUUGCAUGCAGAAGGUCCCAGGUUCAACCCCCCAGCAUCUCCA
Podarcis lilfordi (Lilford's wall lizard) is the source of this 74-nucleotide non-coding RNA. NCBI's taxonomy places the organism in Eukaryota, Metazoa, Chordata, Lepidosauria, Squamata, Lacertidae. The record is from the annotation of a GenBank genome assembly.